Molecule: non-coding RNA, 5158 nt
Organism: Oncorhynchus mykiss (rainbow trout)
Lineage: Eukaryota; Metazoa; Chordata; Actinopteri; Salmoniformes; Salmonidae
Source: RefSeq, a predicted model, not a curated record
GUUGUCUGAAUGGGUAUAAAGACAAUGUUGGUGAUUUACUGCCCCCUGGAGGGUGUUGUCUGAACAGGUAUAAUAACAAGGUUGGUGAUUUACUGGCACUUGCAGUUAUGUAAUGUUAGUAUAGUAUAAUUCAUUAGCUGAUCAGUCCUACUGACCUGGAUGGAAUUCUGCAAUCUUUUCCUGACCGAUGGCAAGUACCAGCCACUUCUUGACUACUUCAAAAUGGUGGAAGUCCUCAAUGGCUCGCUCUGCCCAUGCUUAAACCGGCUUUGUGGCACAAGAGCCGUCUAUCCUAGUCUAUGGUGUUGAGGGUGCUACUGCGCUCACCUUUAGAGCUUCAACAUGAGAGCACCUUUAACUAUGCUAGGCUGAUAGAGAUCUUCAACAUGGCUAGGCUGAUAGAGAUCUUCAACAUGGCUAGGCUGAUAGAGAUCUUCAACAUGGCUAGGCUGAUAGAGAUCUUCAACAUGGCUAGGCUGAUAGAGAUCUUCAACAUGGCUAGGCGCUGAUAGAGAUCUUCAACAUGGCUAGGCGCUGAUAGAGAUCAACAUGGCUAGGCGCUGAUAGAGAUCUUCAACAUGGCUAGGCUGAUAUAACAGAGUUAGAUUACCAAAGUUAAUGAUGCCUUCUUGAACUAUAAUGUGUUUAAACUAUAGCAAUACAGUAGGAUUUUCUUACUAGUAGAAGUCUUGAAUGAUGAAUGAACAAUCCAUGAGUAAUCCACGCGGAGAUUGAAGCCGUGUUUUAUAGUUGUAAGUGGAAAGGUUGAUAUUUGGAUAUGAACUCAGACGGCUGAGUAUGUUGCUCAGAGGGUAGUGGAUAUGAACUCAGAUGGCUGAGUAUGUUGCUCAGAGGGUAGUGGAUAUGAACUCAGACAGCUGAGUAUGUUGCUCAGAGGGUAGUGGAUACGAACUCAGACAGCCACGUAGGUUGCUCAGAGGGUAGUGGAUAUGAACUCAGACAACUGAGUAUGUUGCUCAGAGGGUAGUGGAUAUGAACUCAGACAGCUGAGUAUGUUGCUCAGAGGGUAGUGGAUAUGAACUCAGACGGCUGAGUAGGUUGCUCAGAGGGUAGUGGAUAUGAACUCAGACAGCCACGUAGGUUGCUCAGAGGGUAGUGGAUAUGAACUCAGACAGCUGAGUAGGUUGCUCAGAGGGUAGUGGAUAUGAACUCAGACAGCUGAGUAGGUUGCUCAGAGGGUAGUGGAUAUGAACUCAGACAACUGAGUAUGUUGCUCAGAAGGUAGUGGAUAUGAACUCAGACAGCUGAGUAGGUUGCUCAGAGGGUAGUGGAUAUGAACUCAGACAGCCACGUAGGUUGCUCAGAGGGUAGUCCAGAUUUAUGUUUGUUAUGCGACAGCCUUACCUGUGAAUGACUGACUAGGGCUGCAAAAUUCAGCCAACUUUCUCUAAUUUCCCACAUAUUCCAUAAAUCAGUGUUAGAAGGUUCACGGAAUCAAACGGGAAUAAGCAAGAAAUCCAACAUUCCAAAUGGGAAUUCUGGAAAUCCAACAUUCCAAAUAGGAAUUCUGGAAAUCCAAUGAUUAAAAAAACAUUUUUAAGUUACCGGAGUUUUUCAAACCUGUGAAUGUGGUUUAGAAUCUCAGGGUUUUUAACCCCUACAAGAUGAGUGUUUAACAUAUUGUAUAUGGUGGCACAAGUGUAACAGAGGUUAUUUGGCUCGGAUAAACCAGUGGUUCACCACCAAGUGAUGUACUCCAUGCUCUGCCCUCUACCCCCUCAUGAGUCUCCUCAAGUAGCCCCUGUGGAUUGGCCAAUUACCCCCAAGGGUUCUAGUACCACUGGUUGUGAACCACUGGGCUUACUAUACUUGCAUGGUGAAUAACUUUGCCUGAGAUCUGAAGACUCGCGUUAGCACCCUAGGGUAAUGCCUUGGCUUUAACUCAGCGGGCUAACAGUCUCUGAAGGCGCUCAAUGGCCUGGGUAUUGUGGGUUUGAAUACCUGGUUGAUCAUUCUCACCCCUAUGUUUUGGGUGUUUGUUGGUUCGUUCUGUGAUGACAGGCUUGGGGCUUAAAUAUCAACACAUUCCCUAUAUAGGGCCCUACUUUUUUCCCCCAGUUAAAAGUAAGGGCAUACUACUUAGUCGUAGGAGCCAGUCAAAAGUAGGAUACUAUAUAGGGAAUAGAGUGCCAUUUAUGGACGCACUCCAAUACUGUCACACCUAUAUUGAUGAUAUUGUCGCUUAUAUCCUGUUGGGUGAAGCUUUGUGCCUUACUCUGAGACCACAGUGUGGUCUGACCUUAUUAAAGAUGUCUCUGUGUAGCUGGGACCUCAGUGUGGUCUGAUCUUAUUAAAGAUGUCUCUGUGUAGCUGGGACCUCAGUGUGGUCUGACCUUAUUAAAUAUGUCUCUGUGUAGCUGGGACCUCAGUGUGGUCUGAUCUUAUUAAAGAUGUCUCUGUGUAGCUGGGACCUCAGUGUGGUCUGACCUUAUUAAAGAUGUCUCUGUGUAGCUGGGACCUCAGUGUGGUCUGAUCUUAUUAAAGAUGUCUCUGUGUAGCUGGGACCUCAGUGUGGUCUGAUCUUAUUAAAGAUGUCUCUGUGUAGCUGGGACCUCAGUGUGGUCUGAUCUUAUUAAAGAUGUCUCUGUGUAGCUGGGACCUCAGUGUGGUCUGACCUUAUUAAAUAUGUCUCUGUGUAGCUGGGACCUCAGUGUGGUCUGAUCUUAUUAAAGAUGUCUCUGUGUAGCUGGGACCUCAGUGUGGUCUGACCUUAUUAAAUAUGUCUCUGUGUAGCUGGGACCUCAGUGUGGUCUGAUCUUAUUAAAGAUGUCUCUGUGUAGCUGGGACCUCAGUGUGGUCUGAUCUUAUUAAAGAUGUCUCUGUGUAGCUGGGACCUCAGUGUGGUCUGAUCUUAUUAAAGAUGUCUCUGUGUAGCUGGGACCUCAGUGUGGUCUGAUCUUAUUAAAGAUGUCUCUGUAGCUGGGACCUCCGUGUGGUCUGAUCUUAUUAAAGAUGUCUCUGUGUAGCUGGGACCUCAGUGUGGUCUGAUCUUAUUAAAGAUGUCUCUGUGUAGCUGGGACCUCAGUGUGGUCUGAUCUUAUUAAAGAUGUCUCUGUGUAGCUGGGACCUCAGUGUGGUCUGAUCUUAUUAAAGAUGUCUCUGUGUAGCUGGGACCUCAGUGUGGUCUGACCUUAUUAAAGAUGUCUCUGUGUAGCUGGGACCUCAGUGUGGUCUGACCUUAUUAAAGAUGUCUCUGUGUAGCUGGGACCUCAGUGUGGUCUGAUCUUAUUAAAGAUGUCUCUGUGUAGCUGGGACCUCAGUGUGGUCUGACCUUAUUAAAUAUGUCUCUGUGUAGCUGGGACCUCAGUGUGGUCUGAUCUUAUUAAAGAUGUCUCUGUGUAGCUGGGACCUCAGUGUGGUCUGAUCUUAUUAAAGAUGUCUCUGUGUAGCUGGGACCUCAGUGUGGUCUGAUCUUAUUAAAGAUGUCUCUGUGUAGCUGGGACCUCAGUGUGGUCUGAUCUUAUUAAAGAUGUCUCUGUGUAGCUGGGACCUCAGUGUGGUCUGAUCUUAUUAAAGAUGUCUCUGUGUAGCUGGGACCUCAGUGUGGUCUGAUCUUAUUAAAGAUGUCUCUGUGUAGCUGGGACCUCAGUGUGGUCUGAUCUUAUUAAAGAUGUCUCUGUAGCUGGGACCUCCGUGUGGUCUGAUCUUAUUAAAGAUGUCUCUGUGUAGCUGGGACCUCAGUGUGGUCUGAUCUUAUUAAAGAUGUCUCUGUGUAGCUGGGACCUCAGUGUGGUCUGAUCUUAUUAAAGAUGUCUCUGUGUAGCUGGGACCUCAGUGUGGUCUGACCUUAUUAAAGAUGUCUCUGUGUAGCUGGGACCUCAGUGUGGUCUGACCUUAUUAAAGAUGUCUCUGUGUAGCUGGGACCUCAGUGUGGUCUGACCUUAUUAAAGAUGUCUCUGUGUAGCUGGGACCUCAGUGUGGUCUGAUCUUAUUAAAGAUGUCUCUUUCUACUGCUCAGGUACCGGUAAUACACCUCAGCCCAUUCAGUUCUAGCCAAUGAUAUAGCGUCAACGCCAAACAAACUAAUAUUUAGCCCCAACUACCCUCCUCCCUAGGUCCUAGGCAAAGUUAGUAGAUCUGAAAGAGUUGGAUGGACGCGAGUAGCAACACAAUAUGGUAAAUAGCACCUCCACCUUGUCCUCUGAUGAGGCUAGGUGAAAUAUUCACCAUGUUUAUACCUAUCCAAUCCUUACAGAUUUACCAAGUGCCCAGAGCUAGGUGCUAAGUGGAAGAGAGGAAUAAUAUCAGUUGGCUGCUCAGUUCAGCUCAGUACUUUUGCCAUCCAGGAGUAUAAAAAGUUACCAAUUCUGUUUCAAGAGACAAUUGGAACGUCCGUUUAUUUCCAGGAUUGACUGAAUUGAAAUGGAACCGAGCCCAACCCUGAAAGAUUGACUGAAUUGAAAUGGAACCGAGCCCAACCAUGAAAGAAUGACUGAAUUGAAAUGGAACCGAGCCCAACCCUGAAAGAUUGACUGAAUUGAAAUGGAACCGAGCCCAACCAUGAAAGAAUGACUGAAUUGAAAUGGAACCGAGCCCAACCAUGAAAGAAUGACUGAAUUGAAAUGGAACUGAGCCCAACCAUGAAAGAAUGACUGAAUUGAAAUGGAACUGAGCCCAACCCUGAAAGUAACCUUGUUCUGUGAUGAGGGAUGACAUAUGAUUACUUCAAGGAAACGUGUUUUAUGUUACAAAAUACAUGUAAGGGUUGAUUCACUUGCUCUGGGUUCUUACUUUUUCCCUAUAUGGUACUAGUAAUAAUAUAGGAUGUAAUAAAAUAGAAUGUUGAGUGUGUUUAUAAUGGGAGUGGAUACCUACGUGUGACUGUUACUGCUUGUUGCUCAGGGGGUAGAAUGUAUGAAGCAAUAUCAUUUGAAACAUUUCUCUUAAACUCAGUGUGGAUAGGGGUGUGUCUUGUUUCUGUGAAUCAGGAAGUCACAGAGAUGGACACCCAAUGAGAUGUCAUGUUGUUGCUUUGUGUAGCCCACUCACAAGCUUCUGUACUAAAAUAUACACAUUUCGUUUUUUCCCAUUUAAAUAUGUGUUUCAUCUUGGGAUGCCUCUUCCUGUAUCUAAUAAGUCAUGUUGGGUUAAAUGUGUCUGACCCAACUGUCCUCAAUAAAACUGACUUGGUGAAAGA